RNAcentral lists this ribosomal RNA (253 nucleotides) under uncultured bacterium. RNAcentral's name for it is "partial 16S ribosomal RNA". It matches the Rfam family "Bacterial small subunit ribosomal RNA", at positions 524 to 776 of the family's 1533-position model. The record is from RNAcentral.
GACAGAGGGUGCAAACGUUGCUCGGAAUUACUGGGCGUAAAGCGCGUGUAGGCGGUGCCGCACGUCCGAUGUGAAAGCCCGGGGCUCAACCCCGGACGUGCAUUGGAUACGACGGCGCUGGAGUCCUGAAGAGGAGGGCGGAAUUCCCGGUGUAGAGGUGAAAUUCGUAGAUAUCGGGAGGAACACCAGUGGCGAAGGCGACUACCUGGCCUGUUCUUGACGCUGAGGCGCGAAAGCUAGGGGAGCAAACGGG